This is a long non-coding RNA of Amphiprion ocellaris (clown anemonefish), 587 nucleotides long. The record is from Ensembl. NCBI's taxonomy places the organism in Eukaryota, Metazoa, Chordata, Actinopteri, Pomacentridae.
GCUCAUAUCUUUGGCAGCUGUAAAGUUUCUGCUCCUUCAAAGUUCACAACACAAUGAAUGAAUUCCUAAAACACUCUCAAUGCUGGAGAGCGUUUGAUGCUGAAGCAGUGACCAGUUUUUCUGUUUCUUCUCUGGAGAUGCACAAUGAGGGACGUCUGCAGAGACUGAGAAAGAGUCUCACCACAUCCUGACAUGAGGAAAAAGACUUUAUUGAAGACUACAAUGAGAAAAACUAUCAGACAGCAGACGGCUGCAUUCAAGUCUGUAGCUGCUGAAUUCAUGGAUGAAUCAUCUGGCACUAGAGAAGAAGACCAUCAAACAUCUACGUCAGCUGAUGGAGGUCCAAGAGUCUCACCAAACAACCAACCUACAGAGUGAAGACCUCUAACCUGAUUGGACGGCCUCCUAUUCAGCCACAUGCUGUUAGAUUGUUCCAGAUAAGACAAGUACAAGAUUCUUCAGAGCCGUUCUACCACGAGCCUGACAGGAAGAACUCCAACAGCUACUGAAUGUUCCUGUGGUUCCCUCAAGGCUACAGGAGGAGCCCUACGAGGACGAGAAGGUCCACCUGAUGGCGGCCAGUCGCU